CCCUUAGAUGUUCUGGGCCGCACGCGCGCUACACUGAACAGAUCAGCGUGUAUUCCCUUCCUGAGAAGGACGGGUAAACCGCUGAGCCCUGUUCAUGGUAGGGAUCGGGGCUUGCAAUUAUUCCCCGUGAACCAGGAAUUCCCAGUAGGCGCAAGUCAUAAGCUUGCGUCGAUUACGUCCCUGCCCUUUGUACACACCGCCCGUCGCACCUACCGAUUGAAUGGUCCGGUGAAAUCUUCGGAUCUGAGAGAUGUCUGAUUAAUUUCGGACGCCUUUUGGAAAAGUUGUUUAAACCUUACCAUUUAGAGGAAGGUGAANUCGUAACA
This 326-nucleotide ribosomal RNA is filed under the name uncultured eukaryote. RNAcentral describes it as "partial 18S ribosomal RNA". It matches the Rfam family "Eukaryotic small subunit ribosomal RNA", at positions 1470 to 1796 of the family's 1831-position model. The record is from RNAcentral.